This is a non-coding RNA of Ictidomys tridecemlineatus (thirteen-lined ground squirrel), 72 nucleotides long. Lineage: Eukaryota; Metazoa; Chordata; Mammalia; Rodentia; Sciuridae. The record is from Rfam.
GGUGUUGUAGCUCAGUGGUAGAGCACUUGCCUAGCAUGUGUGAGGCCCUGAGUUUGAUUCUCAGAACCACAU